This is a long non-coding RNA of Daucus carota subsp. sativus, 2369 nucleotides long. RefSeq lists it as uncharacterized. The record is from RefSeq and is a predicted model, not a curated record. The transcript has 3 exons. NCBI's taxonomy places the organism in Eukaryota, Viridiplantae, Streptophyta, Magnoliopsida, Apiales, Apiaceae.
CAGGAAAAAUUUAAUGUGAGUUUUUCGUCUUAAACCUACACUUAUCAGUUCAAAAGUGAAGAGGCAGAGGUCUAGGCAUAAUUAACUUUUGGAAGCUCAAAACAAGGUUCAACUAUUUCACAUCCCGCAAUCAAGCACAACGGCUAGACGUAGAAGAAGAGGUCCGGGAAUUGAGCAGCUGUAUGCGCAGAGGUUUGCCGAGGAUUCUCUACCUAUAUCUAAACAUCAAACUUUGAUAAAAUGAGCUUCCAAGCAACGAGGUCGUGGACCUGGUGUCAACAAUAUGAUAAAUUCCCAAGAACCUUUCCUUGCUCCUCGCAAAGCGCCAUUAGUUGGUAAUUUUUUAAAGGUUGGUAUGAAGGAUCAUGUACAUUGCUAGAUUUCACAAUGUUUAUAUCAUCUGCAGCUCUAGACGCACAGGUAGAGGUCAAGUGUUGAAAAACUGUUGGCACUGAGAUUUGGCGACGAAACUGGCAACACAACCAAAAAUAUUAGAGGAACAGAAGAAGGCGCCAUUUACCUCUACGCAGUAUUAUACUCAAAUUAUACCAUAUAACUAAUAAUUUCUUUUUCUCUUCUCCUUCAUUUGCAGCUUAUGUGACUUAUCCGUAUACUAAUGGUGGAACCCACGUGUCUCCGAACACUUCCGGUUAGUAGUCCAUCAUUCUUCUAUCUUAUAUGAUCCGAUACUAAUUUCAAUCUUCAUGUUCACUUAAGAGUGUAGGACUCCAAGUAGUACUCUAACGUUCCGGGGAUCAAUGAUGAGGAGAAGCAAUUCUCUUCGCAAAGCAUGAAGAUUUAUGCACCUCACAACAUGUUUGAAUCUCCAGGUUCUCCUUUCACCUCAACCUGGUGUUUUGACACGACUACACGAAUUAAGUACUAAAAGCAUCAACAUUCCAUGUGUACGCAGUAGACAGAAGCACAUCCCGUUGUCAACAUCCAUUUUCUUCUUCAAGUGUUAUGGUUCAUAAUCAUCACUCUGGUAUGCAGGUCAUUCUUAUUUUGAAAUUGGUCACCUAAAACCCAGUUUGUAAUAGAUAUGAUACUUUAGUAAUUAAAUAUCCACCAUGGUAUAUUCUCGAUAGAAGUUAGCUUAAAUACAAGAUAAAUUCACUGAUACCAGAAGUUAGCUCUGUUCUCAGCAGGAAAAUUGAACAUGGCUUCUGCAUUGUUCCGGGGUAUUGCAGCAUUGGCUGGGAGUUUAAUUUGCUAGGGGUAUUACCUUCUUUAUUUUAAAAGGAUAUUUCAGUGAGCACUGCUUUUUAGUAAUUUUCCGGUUCUUCUUACUUUUUUUGUAAGACUUUCUUUUAUUAUUUUAUGACAAUUAACUUUGGUAUUAUCUAGUAAAUAGAUGUUCUAUUGUUUUCUUCUUCGACUUUGGAGAAGACAUCAGUACUACUUGGAAGACAUCAGCACAAUCAAAUUGUUAUUGGUUUUCUGUUGAUCAUCAUUUACGGAUGUUGUAUUUCAUUAAACAGAGAAUUGUGUUUUUAUUUUUUGGGUGUGGUCAGUACUCCAUACUGUCGGGCAUCCGACUUCAGGCCUGGAUAGACUACUGACCUGUAUGUUUUGUUUUUUGUUUUUUCUUAAUUCUGUUUCAGAGAAAAAUACGAUAUUAAUCACUACAAAUAAGUUUUUAUUCGGUAUUUCAAAUCAUUUGUCGUGUUUAACAAGAUCUAGAUUUCAAUUUAAUUUGAAACUGAUAAUAAUCUUCUCUUCUCCAGAUUUCUAAUUCUUGAAUCUUAUUGUCGUCCACAUGUUGGUAUUCUCCUCUCCUCAUGAUCGGAUACUAUUGUUUCGAUUGAUUAUUACAUAAUAUCUCUUUAAAUAAAAUUAUAGUUUUGUUCAUUCUGAUUAAGCACAGGUAGCUAUAUUUUAAGUAAUUCGGUCAACAGGAUUUCAUUCUGCAGGCAGAUGCACAAGUAGGUAUCGUCUUAUACUCCCAACUCAUCAAUUUCAUUUUUUUAUGGUGCAAAUAACCAUUCCAAUAUAGAAUUUUAACUUGAACAUUAUCCUACAAGCUUUAGACUAUUUUUGUUCUGGACAAAGUCACAUGUAUUCUGUAGUACUUUACUUUGACCACAUCAGGUUUCGGUCACACAAGGUCCUCAUCCUGAUCAAGGGUUUAAAGGAAAGAGGUGCAGAUGAACGGCAAAAAUACUUUUGCAGCUCCAAGGAAUGUCAGGCCACUUGGUUAUACUAACAACAUUAACACAAAAUCUGAUGUGGUCGGGGAAGUUGCAGACGAGCAGCCGAAAUCUAAUGACAAGUUUAGAAAAAUGUUGUUCAGAAAAUGAAAGAAGAGAGAAGUAAUACCAUAAUGAUGGUCAUGUAAUUCCUCUGGGGUUGAUCUAUACAAGAUUGCU